Long non-coding RNA from Hyaena hyaena (striped hyena), 742 nucleotides. RefSeq lists it as uncharacterized. The transcript has 3 exons. NCBI's taxonomy places the organism in Eukaryota, Metazoa, Chordata, Mammalia, Carnivora, Hyaenidae. The record is from RefSeq and is a predicted model, not a curated record.
UUCAUCUAUUACAUUCUUCAUAUAGUUCAGCUUAUCUUCAGACUAAGAAAUUAUUCUGAUUUAUCUUAAAAAAAAAAAAGAAUACAGAGGAUUCUGUGAAGAGAUGAAAUGGGAAGAGAGAGAAGAUGUAUGUGAGCAAUAAUGGGAUAGAUCAUCAGAAAGGUACCAAUGUGAUAAAGAACUCCCAUGUGUUAACUGACAACUGUGAUGAAUUCAUAGUGACAGACCAUCAGAGGUGUGUGAUAAGGGAUGAAAAGGCUGCAUCCAGUCUCCUUGGAAAGGUGUUCUAAGUGAAUCCUUCCAGACAGAACCAUAAACAAACAGCCUAGUCCUCUGUGGGAGACAAGGAUGUACACGUUUGAUGAAUGGCUGGCACGGAUGACACCUGGAACCCAAACAGUUGGAGUCAUACCUCAGGAAAUGCUUCAAGGACGUAAGGAAGCACCAUCUGAAGCAACACAGAUGCUGAUAACAGAGAAAUAGUUACAUCCAGGAUGAAAACUGUGAAUAAAGGAAGCAACUACGUCUAAAUAGAAACCAGAGGGCAGAAUGCAGAGCAGGAAAGGGACGAGGACAGAACAAAAGCAGUGCGGCCUGACAAGGGGCACCUGCUCUCAUGAAUCAUAUGCCUCUUGCCCCUCCUUUCCAGUCACUCCUCUGCUGGCUCCUCUUCAGUCUUCCCUCCCCCAGAUGGGGUCCCCCAGCCAUUCUUGCCUUAACAUUUGUUCUUCACCGAUUUUAA